CUAACCAACCAAUUUGGGGAGAUGCGAGAAUUGUUGUUGCAAGCUCUUGGUGGCAACAAUAUAAGAGGUGGCAGAGAUGACGAAAGAAGAGAAGGCAAGGAAGACAAUCGAAGAGAAGGUAGAGAUGGUGAGAGAAGAGAUAAUAGGAGGCAACAUAUUCCGGAUAGCGAGUCAGAGUCAGAAGAAGAACAUGAGGAACCAC
Molecule: long non-coding RNA, 202 nt
Filed under: Prunus persica (peach)
Lineage: Eukaryota; Viridiplantae; Streptophyta; Magnoliopsida; Rosales; Rosaceae
Description: long non-coding RNA (PPER_LNC004819)
Source: RNAcentral